GGAAAUGAGGUAAGAGCAGAAAUAGGCUGAGAUUUCUUUGAGGUUAUUAUUUUUUUUUUCCUGUUAGCUAAUUUGGGCCUGUGGUUCUCCUGAGAAGCCCAGAGCUGUGAUUUUAGCAGAGUCCUGCCAGGAUAGAUCCAAGGGAUCCAUCCAAGGCUGGCACAAGAGAGCAGUUGGACAGGAACUGAAAAAGCCCAGCAAAGUCAAGGGGGAAAUAAAUGACGAUUGGACAAGCUUCAUUAACCUGCCAGUAUUCCCAAGUCUCCCCCUCAACUGUCGUCUUUCCUUCCCGGGGUGUCUUCCACCAAGAUCCUAUAGCUUUAAGCUGCAAAAUUGGAUCUGAAGGAUGGUGGUAAUGCGGAUGAUGGCUGAUGAUUUUUAACCACUUACUUGGUGUCAGACCUUGUUCUAAAUAUUUUAUGUUCACUCACGUGCUUAUUCACCUAUUCAACGCACAUUUAUCAAAUACUUUUUUCAUAUUUAAGGAAGUGAAACAGAAAAAUCAGUCCUUAUACUCUGACAUAGGGAGACAGAACACAUAUAAUAACCAUAGCAAAUAAAUACGUCAUAUGUUAGGAGGUGAUGAGGCAUGGAAGAGGAGGGGAACAGAGACUGCAAUAUCCAACAGUUGAUCCAAGAGAACUUACUGAGGAAAUGAUGUCUGGGUGGAGAUGGAAGUGGUAGGAAAGUGAUCCCAAUGGACACCUGGGGGCGCAGUGUCUGGAGCAGAGGGACCCACCACUGCAAAGAUGUUGAAGUGACAGCAACUUGGGUGCUGUAGGACCAGGGAGGAGCCUUGUGACGGGAGUGAAGGCAGGUGAAGGAUAGAGAGGUCAGAGACAUAAGGGUGAUCAGAG
Molecule: long non-coding RNA, 857 nt
Filed under: Marmota monax (woodchuck)
Lineage: Eukaryota; Metazoa; Chordata; Mammalia; Rodentia; Sciuridae
Source: RNAcentral